CCUACGGGUGGCUGCAGUGGGGAAUAUUGGACAAUGGGCGAAAGCCUGAUCCAGCCAUGCCGCGUGUGUGAAGAAGGCCUUCGGGUUGUAAAGCACUUUCAGUGGGGAAGAAAGCCUUGGGUCUAAUACCCUCGAGGAAGGACAUCACCCACAGAAGAAGCACCGGCUAACUCCGUGCCAGCAGCCGCGGUAAUACGGAGGGUGCGAGCGUUAAUCGGAAUUACUGGGCGUAAAGCGCGCGUAGGCGGUCUGAUAAGCCGGUUGUGAAAGCCCCGGGCUCAACCUGGGAACGGCAUCCGGAACUGUCAGGCUAGAGUGCAGGAGAGGAAGGUAGAAUUCCCGGUGUAGCGGUGAAAUGCGUAGAGAUCGGGAGGAAUACCAGUGGCGAAGGCGGCCUUCUGGACUGACACUGACGCUGAGGUGCGAAAGCGUGGGUAGCAAACAGGAUUAGAUACCCCUGUAGUC
This 465-nucleotide ribosomal RNA is filed under the name Vreelandella stevensii. Its description in RNAcentral is "partial 16S ribosomal RNA". It matches the Rfam family "Bacterial small subunit ribosomal RNA", at positions 338 to 795 of the family's 1533-position model. The record is from RNAcentral. Lineage: Bacteria; Pseudomonadati; Pseudomonadota; Gammaproteobacteria; Oceanospirillales; Halomonadaceae.